This 254-nucleotide ribosomal RNA is filed under the name uncultured bacterium. RNAcentral's name for it is "partial 16S ribosomal RNA". It matches the Rfam family "Bacterial small subunit ribosomal RNA", at positions 524 to 776 of the family's 1533-position model. The record is from RNAcentral.
UACGUAGGGCGCAAGCGUUAUCCGGAAUUAUUGGGCGUAAAGAGCUCGUAGGCGGUUUGUCGCGUCUGCCGUGAAAGUCCGGGGCUCAACUCCGGAUCUGCGGUGGGUACGGGCAGACUAGAGUGAUGUAGGGGAGACUGGAAUUCCUGGUGUAGCGGUGAAAUGCGCAGAUAGUCAGGAGGAACACCGAUGGCGAAGGCAGGUCUCUGGGCAUUAACUGACGCUGGAGGAGCGAAAGCAUGGGAGCGAACAGG